Long non-coding RNA from Oncorhynchus tshawytscha (Chinook salmon), 995 nucleotides. RefSeq lists it as uncharacterized. The record is from RefSeq and is a predicted model, not a curated record. The transcript has 3 exons. NCBI's taxonomy places the organism in Eukaryota, Metazoa, Chordata, Actinopteri, Salmoniformes, Salmonidae.
GUCACGCAGGUUCCUCAACAAGAGAAGGAGAGGACGCGGAAGAGGCCAACACGGAGGGGGAGGAAGAAAUCAAGACUAUCCAACCACACGGAGCAGGACCAGAACAAGGCUGUGAUCAACAUUUCUGGAGAACCCCUUUCUGAUGAUUGCAUAAGGGCAUCUACAUCGGAAGGCCUGGUACAAGCAAAACAUCUCUCCAACUACAGACACCAGUGUCUCAGAUUGGAAUGUCCACAGUACAAGGUGUUCUACAUUGGAAGGACAAAGAGACGCCUUCAAGACCGCUUAGUGGAACACAAGUACGCCAUACGCGUAGGCAAUGAAGACUACCCAUUGGCAAGGCACUACAAGUCCCUACACCAUGGCAACCCUGCCUCCCUACAAGCUAUGGGUAUUGAUCAUAUUCCGGCCUCUUAUUAGAAAAGGGGACCGUCUUAAACAGUUAAACGAAAGGGAAAGUUUUUGGAUUUACAAACUACAGGCCACUAAAUACCCUGGUUUAAAUGAAGAUAUGGAUUUCUCACCCUUCCUAUAGGGUUGUGAUGGGUCUAUUUGCUGUCAUCCAGUGGACAUUUUGCUUAAUUUGCCCUCAGCUAUGGUUAGACUGUUGUUGUUCAUGUUUUGCUGUGUUCUAGUGUACUAUGGUAUAUUUAGCUUUCUUAUUCUUGACACUUCUCCCAGUCAUAUUUAAGGUUAGAACUACCUUUUAGUCUUCUGAUACUUCUAGCUUGGAGUUGUAUUUUUAUGAUAACUUAGCUACAGUAUUUAACCUUUUAAUGUGUAUAGUAUUGCUUACUAGGUGUGUCCAAUCAAUUUUGUAACCACUCCCUCUUCCAUUUAGGGCUAAUUGGAAAAGCUGUUCAAAAGAGGUCAUAGUAUUCCUUUUUUUGUACUCCCUGACGAAGGCCAUGCUGCCGAAAUGCGUCGGUUUAAAAAAAACGUUGUUUCUAUUGAACAUGCCAUACUAAUAAAGGCAUUUAAAUUAAUUAUAUGAA